This 507-nucleotide ribosomal RNA is filed under the name uncultured bacterium. RNAcentral's name for it is "bacterial SSU rRNA". It matches the Rfam family "Bacterial small subunit ribosomal RNA", at positions 903 to 1397 of the family's 1533-position model. The record is from RNAcentral.
AAAGGAAUUGACGGGGACCCGCACAAGCGGUGGAACAUGUGGUUUAAUUCGAUGCUACGCGAAGAACCUCACCUGGGCUUGACAUAUACGCAGUAGUGAACCGAAAGGGGAACGAACCGUUAAGUCCGGUAACGUAUACAGGUGCUGCAUGGCUGUCGUCAGCUCGUGUCGUGAGAUGUUGGGUUAAGUCCCGCAACGAGCGCAACCAUUGCCCUAUGUUGCCACUCUAUCCUUCGGGGUAGAAGCACUCUUAGGGGACUGCCUGGGAUAACCAGGAGGAAGGUGGAGAUGACGUCAAGUCAGUACGGCCUUUAUGCCCAGGGCUACACACGUGUUACAAUGGCAGGUACAAAGGGUUGCCAACCCGCGAGGGGGAGCUAAUCUCAAAAAACCUGCCCCAGUUCGGAUAAGAGUCUGCAACUCGACUCUUUGAAGCCGGAAUCGCUAGUAAUGGAAGAUCAGCUCGCUUCCGUGAAUACGUUCCCGGGUCUUGUACACACCGCCCGU